AUCCAGCUAACGAGUCCCAAAUAGGACGAAAUGAGCGUUCUGGAU
This 45-nucleotide non-coding RNA is filed under the name Schistosoma curassoni. Lineage: Eukaryota; Metazoa; Platyhelminthes; Trematoda; Strigeidida; Schistosomatidae. The record is from RNAcentral.